This 253-nucleotide ribosomal RNA is filed under the name uncultured bacterium. RNAcentral describes it as "partial 16S ribosomal RNA". It matches the Rfam family "Bacterial small subunit ribosomal RNA", at positions 524 to 776 of the family's 1533-position model. The record is from RNAcentral.
UACGUAGGGGGCAAGCGUUGUCCGGAAUCAUUGGGCGUAAAGGGCUCGUAGGCGGCCAACUAAGUCGGACGUGAAAUCCCCAGGCUCAACCUGGGAACUGCGUCCGAUACUGGAUGGCUUGAAUCCGGGAGAGGGAUGCAGAAUUCCAGGUGUAGCGGUGAAAUGCGUAGAUAUCUGGAGGAAUACCGGUGGCGAAGGCGGCAUCCUGGACCGGCAUUGACGCUGAGGAGCGAAAGCCAGGGGAGCAAACGGG